GCGGGAUUAGUAUAGUGGUAGUACACGACAUUGCCAAUGUCGAGACGCGAGUUCGAUCCUCGUAUCCCGCUCCA
This 74-nucleotide transfer RNA is filed under the name Candidatus Wolfebacteria bacterium RIFCSPHIGHO2_01_FULL_48_22. Its description in RNAcentral is "tRNA-Gly". It matches the Rfam family "tRNA". From Rfam's summary of the family: Transfer RNA (tRNA) molecules are approximately 80 nucleotides in length. Their secondary structure includes four short double-helical elements and three loops (D, anti-codon, and T loops). Further hydrogen bonds mediate the characteristic L-shaped molecular structure. tRNAs have two regions of fundamental functional importance: the anti-codon, which is responsible for specific mRNA codon recognition, and the 3' end, to which the tRNAs corresponding amino acid is attached (by aminoacyl-tRNA synthetases). tRNAs cope with the degeneracy of the genetic code in two manners: having more than one tRNA (with a specific anti-codon) for a particular amino acid; and 'wobble' base-pairing, i.e. permitting non-standard base-pairing at the 3rd anti-codon position. Lineage: Bacteria; Candidatus Wolfeibacteriota. RNAcentral also lists the same sequence under 1 other name. The record is from RNAcentral.